Molecule: ribosomal RNA, 252 nt
Filed under: uncultured bacterium
Lineage: Bacteria
Description: partial 16S ribosomal RNA
Rfam family: Bacterial small subunit ribosomal RNA
Source: RNAcentral
UACGGAGGGAGCUAGCGUUAUUCGGAAUUACUGGGCGUAAAGCGUACGUAGGCGGCUUGCAAGUUAGAGGUGAAAGCCUGGAGCUCAACUCCAGAACUGCCUUUAAAACUGCAUCGCUUGAAUCCAGGAGAGGUGAGUGGAAUUCCGAGUGUAGAGGUGAAAUUCGUAGAUAUUCGGAAGAACACCAGUGGCGAAGGCGGCUCACUGGACUGGUAUUGACGCUGAGGUACGAAAGCGUGGGGAGCAAACAGG